GUGUCAGCAGCCGCGGUAAUACGGAAGGUCCGGGCGUUAUCCGGAUUUAUUGGGUUUAAAGGGAGCGUAGGCCGGAGAUUAAGUGUGUUGUGAAAUGUAGACGCUCAACGUCUGACUUGCAGCGCAUACUGGUUUCCUUGAGUACGCACAACGUUGGCGGAAUUCGUCGUGUAGCGGUGAAAUGCUUAGAUAUGACGAAGAACUCCGAUUGCGAAGGCAGCUGACGGGAGCGCAACUGACGCUUAAGCUCGAAGGUGCGGGUAUCGAACAGGAUUAGAAACCCCUGUAGUCC
RNAcentral lists this ribosomal RNA (292 nucleotides) under uncultured Prevotella sp. RNAcentral describes it as "partial 16S ribosomal RNA". It matches the Rfam family "Bacterial small subunit ribosomal RNA", at positions 505 to 796 of the family's 1533-position model. Lineage: Bacteria; Pseudomonadati; Bacteroidota; Bacteroidia; Bacteroidales; Prevotellaceae. The record is from RNAcentral. RNAcentral also lists the same sequence under 1 other name.